CAGCAGCCACGGUAAUACGUAGGGUGCGAGCGUUAAUCGGAAUUACUGGGCGUAAAGCGUGCGCAGGCGGUUGUGCAAGACAGAUGUGAAAUCCCCGAGCUUAACUUGGGAACUGCAUUUGUGACUGCACGGCUAGAGUGUGUCAGAGGGGGGUAGAAUUCCACGUGUAGCAGUGAAAUGCGUAGAUAUGUGGAGGAAUACCGAUGGCGAAGGCAGCCCCCUGGGAUAACACUGACGCUCAUGCACGAAAGCGUGGGGAGCAAACAGGAUUAGAUACCCCCGUAGUCCCUGUCUCUUAUAC
Molecule: ribosomal RNA, 301 nt
Filed under: uncultured bacterium
Lineage: Bacteria
Description: partial 16S ribosomal RNA
Rfam family: Bacterial small subunit ribosomal RNA
Source: RNAcentral